This 666-nucleotide long non-coding RNA is filed under the name Sinocyclocheilus anshuiensis. RNAcentral describes it as "lncRNA (ENSSANG00000013502.1)". Lineage: Eukaryota; Metazoa; Chordata; Actinopteri; Cypriniformes; Cyprinidae. The record is from RNAcentral.
GCCCUAGUAGUGAGUCUUUGAAGGCUUUAAUGAACAAUCGAGAUUCGUUUACUUAAGGAUUCAUUUAAAAACGUUUACGGACGAAACACCGCUGAUACUUUGAAUGUACUGUGUAUCUGGUCAAAUGAGAUUCCAGAGACGUGAAAGAAAGAUUCAUACACAGUAAAUCAAAGCCGUAACCCUCGGAUUCAAAUGCUCUUUGUCAGCAAUCAGCCGCCCUGCCAACCGAUCGGAUGAGAGGAAAUCCACUGCAUACAGAUUUCAACAUCAGCUGCCAAACAUAAUGAUCCAAGCUAGAACGGUCCUGAGGGACAGAGCAGUUCCAGCGACACUCACUGGCCGGAGGAGGGCGCUCUGGAGCCGCCGUCACCUGCUUCAGUAAACAGCUUCAUCUAUGUUAUCAUCACUGUCUCCUCCAAACUCGUCUCCAUUGUCAAAGUGGGACAUGAUGUAAUCUGUUUCCUGUUACACACAUACAUAGGAUUAAUUGGCUAAAACUUGUAUUGAAUGUUGGUUUAAUACAGGUUCACCUCAGUCAAUAGCAUUUGUGGUAUAAUAUUGAUUACUACACAAUAUUCUAAAAGGGCAAAAUCAAGGUUAUACUGAGGAAGUAAAUGGGAGAUUUUUUUUAGAGGCUUUAAAAGCUUAUAAGUUUAUAACAGCACA